This 349-nucleotide long non-coding RNA is filed under the name Malus domestica (apple). RNAcentral describes it as "long non-coding RNA (MDOM_LNC017927)". Lineage: Eukaryota; Viridiplantae; Streptophyta; Magnoliopsida; Rosales; Rosaceae. The record is from RNAcentral.
AAUUACAUGAAGUAGUGGACUUUUAUGUUUUUACAAAAUGAGCUCAAAAGUUUAAGUUUUGCAACAUAGCCCAAAAAGUUGAGGUUAUUGCAUUUUGGCCCAAAUUAGGUUGUGAACAAAAUGGUUUUGUCUGUUUAAAUGAGAAUUGGAUUUUCAUUUCAUUUAGCUCCAUUUAAAUCAAUUCUAUGGAUACAAAAACCAAAUGAAAAUGUUGCAUUUAAUUUAAUUAGUUAAAGUGUUAAUUAAUUAAAGGGUGAUUAUGAACCUAAGCCUACAAUAAUUGAGCUAUGUGAAAGGCCGUUUCAAAUUUGUUUGAACCAUGGGAAUGUGUAGAUUAGAUUUUGGUUGU